Molecule: transfer RNA, 74 nt
Filed under: Candidatus Methanomarinus sp. HR1
Lineage: Archaea; Methanobacteriati; Methanobacteriota; Methanomicrobia; Methanosarcinales; Candidatus Methanocomedenaceae
Description: ANME-2 cluster archaeon HR1 tRNA-Arg
Rfam family: tRNA
About the family: Transfer RNA (tRNA) molecules are approximately 80 nucleotides in length. Their secondary structure includes four short double-helical elements and three loops (D, anti-codon, and T loops).
Source: RNAcentral
UGGGCAUGUAGUGUAGAGGAUAUCACUCAGGCCUCCGGAGCCUGGAACCUGGGUUCGACUCCCAGCAUGCCCGU